AGACCACGCCAACAGUUGCCAGCUCGGUCCUUCCCGGGGAGUUGGUGGGGGACAACCUGUUGGGUAACCGGCCUCUGCUAAAGAGGAGGAAGGAAUGGGCAACGGUAGGUCAGCAUGCCCCGAAUUAUCUGGGCUACACGCGGGCUACAAUGGGUGGGACAAUGGGUAUCGACACCGAAAGGUGAAGGCAAUCUCCUAAACCCAUCCGUAGUUCGGAUUGUGGGCUGCAACUCGCCCACAUGAAGCUGGAAUCUGUAGUAAUCGUGUCUCAAAAUGGCACGGUGAAUAUGUCCCUGCUCCUU
Molecule: ribosomal RNA, 302 nt
Filed under: uncultured Methanomicrobiales archaeon
Lineage: Archaea; Methanobacteriati; Methanobacteriota; Methanomicrobia; Methanomicrobiales
Description: bacterial SSU rRNA
Rfam family: Archaeal small subunit ribosomal RNA
Source: RNAcentral